This 380-nucleotide long non-coding RNA is filed under the name Lupinus angustifolius (narrow-leaved blue lupine). RNAcentral's name for it is "long non-coding RNA (LANG_LNC002869)". The record is from RNAcentral. Lineage: Eukaryota; Viridiplantae; Streptophyta; Magnoliopsida; Fabales; Fabaceae.
AAUAAGGAGAGUUGGACCCUGACCAAGGAAAAGGAGAUCUGGAUCGUGACCAAGACCCAUGGCUGUGUCAGGGGACAUAGCCUGACCGUGUGUUGCAGAAGGAUGGUCGUGUGUCACAGAUGGAAGCCACCACGAGUCGUGUCAAGGAGCAAGACCAACUGGGAACAACCCACAACAUGUGUUAGGGGACACAGCCAGACCGUGGAAGCCUCUGUAAUAAAAUAUUCAAUCAAAUUAAUAGGACUCAAUCGUGUACCUUCAAGCACGAACGUGUACCCUGAAACUCAAUUAAUUGCUUCUUUUUCAACCAACCUUCUCUUGUAUAAAUACUUAUUCACAAGUUUUCAUUAUAAUUAUGGUCAAUACAAUAUAACUACAAC